This 251-nucleotide ribosomal RNA is filed under the name uncultured prokaryote. Its description in RNAcentral is "partial 16S rRNA". It matches the Rfam family "Bacterial small subunit ribosomal RNA", at positions 525 to 775 of the family's 1533-position model. The record is from RNAcentral.
ACGAAGGGGGCUAGCGUUGUUCGGAUUUACUGGGCGUAAAGCGCACGUAGGCGGCUUGUUAAGUCAGGGGUGAAAUCCUGGAGCUCAACUCCAGAACUGCCUUUGAUACUGGCAAGCUAGAGUCCGGAAGAGGUGAGUGGAACUCCUAGUGUAGAGGUGGAAUUCGUAGAUAUUAGGAAGAACACCAGUGGCGAAGGCGGCUCACUGGUCCGGUACUGACGCUGAGGUGCGAAAGCGUGGGGAGCAAACAG